UACGAAGGGGGCUAGUGUUGCUCGGAAUCACUGGGCGUAAAGCGCACGUAGGCGGCUUUUUAAGUCAGGGGUGAAAUCCUGGAGCUCAACUCCAGAACUGCCUUUGAUACUGAGAAGCUUGAGUCCGGGAGAGGUGAGUGGAACUGCGAGUGUAGAGGUGAAAUUCGUAGAUAUUCGCAAGAACACCAGUGGCGAAGGCGGCUCACUGGCCCGGUACUGACGCUGAGGAGCGAAAGCGUGGGGAGCGAACAGG
This 253-nucleotide ribosomal RNA is filed under the name uncultured bacterium. Its description in RNAcentral is "partial 16S ribosomal RNA". It matches the Rfam family "Bacterial small subunit ribosomal RNA", at positions 524 to 776 of the family's 1533-position model. The record is from RNAcentral.